This 489-nucleotide ribosomal RNA is filed under the name uncultured bacterium. RNAcentral describes it as "partial 16S ribosomal RNA". It matches the Rfam family "Bacterial small subunit ribosomal RNA", at positions 30 to 507 of the family's 1533-position model. The record is from RNAcentral.
UUGAACGCUGGCGGCAGGCCUAACACAUGCAAGUCGAACGGUAACAGGAAACAGCUUGCUGUUUCGCUGACGAGUGGCGGACGGGUGAGUAAUGUCUGGGAAACUGCCUGAUGGAGGGGGAUAACUACUGGAAACGGUAGCUAAUACCGCAUAACGUCGCAAGACCAAAGAGGGGGACCUUCGGGCCUCUUGCCAUCGGAUGUGCCCAGAUGGGAUUAGCUAGUAGGUGGGGUAACGGCUCACCUAGGCGACGAUCCCUAGCUGGUCUGAGAGGAUGACCAGCCACACUGGAACUGAGACACGGUCCAGACUCCUACGGGAGGCAGCAGUGGGGAAUAUUGCACAAUGGGCGCAAGCCUGAUGCAGCCAUGCCGCGUGUAUGAAGAAGGCCUUCGGGUUGUAAAGUACUUUCAGCGGGGAGGAAGGGAGUAAAGUUAAUACCUUGACUCAUUGACGUUACCCGCAGAAGAAGCACCGGCUAACUCCGUG